RNAcentral lists this transfer RNA (72 nucleotides) under Bos taurus (domestic cattle). It matches the Rfam family "tRNA". From Rfam's summary of the family: Transfer RNA (tRNA) molecules are approximately 80 nucleotides in length. Their secondary structure includes four short double-helical elements and three loops (D, anti-codon, and T loops). Lineage: Eukaryota; Metazoa; Chordata; Mammalia; Artiodactyla; Bovidae. RNAcentral also lists the same sequence under 4 other names. The record is from Rfam by way of RNAcentral.
UCCCUGGUGGUCCAAUGGUUAGGAAUCUGUCUGCUAAUGCAGGGGACACAGGUUCAAUCCCUGACCUGGGAA